UACGUAGGGCGCAAGCGUUGUCCGGAAUUAUUGGGCGUAAAGAGCUCGUAGGCGGCUUGUCACGUCGGGUGUGAAAGCCCGGGGCUUAACCCCGGGUCUGCAUUCGAUACGGGCUGGCUAGAGUGUGGUAGGGGAGAUCGGAAUUCCUGGUGUAGCGGUGAAAUGCGUAGAUAUCUGGAGGAACACCGGUGGCGAAGGCGGCAUCCUGGACCGGCAUUGACGCUGAGGCGCGAAAGCCAGGGGAGCAAACGGG
Molecule: ribosomal RNA, 253 nt
Filed under: uncultured bacterium
Lineage: Bacteria
Description: partial 16S ribosomal RNA
Rfam family: Bacterial small subunit ribosomal RNA
Source: RNAcentral